UACGGAAGGCAGCAGUGGGGAAUAUUGGACAAUGGGCGAAAGCCUGAUCCAGCCACGCCGCAUGAGUGAAGAAGGCCUUCGGGUUGUAAAGCUCUUUUAGUGAGAAAGAUAAUGACGGUACUCACAGAAGAAGUCCUGGCUAACUCCGUGCCAGCAGCCGCGGUAAUACGGAGAGGGCUAGCGUUAUUCGGAAUUAUUGGGCGUAAAGAGCGCGUAGGCUGAUUAGUAAGUUAAAAGUGAAAUCCCAAAGCUUAACUUUGGAAUUGCUUUUUAAAACUGCUAGUCUAGAGAUUGAAAGAGGAUAGAGGAAUUCCUAGUGUAGAGGUGAAAUUCGUAAAUAUUAGGAGGAACACCAGUGGCGAAGGCGUCUAUCUGGUUCAAAUCUGACGCUGAGGCGCGAAGGGCGUGGGGAGCAAACAGGGAUUUAGAUACC
Molecule: ribosomal RNA, 433 nt
Filed under: uncultured bacterium
Lineage: Bacteria
Description: bacterial SSU rRNA
Rfam family: Bacterial small subunit ribosomal RNA
Source: RNAcentral